CUACGGGCGGCUGCAGUGAGGAAUAUUGCACAAUGGGGGGAACCCUGAUGCAGCAACGCCGCGUGGAGGAUGACGCAUUUCGGUGUGUAAACUCCUUUUAUAUGUCAAGAAAAUAACGGUAGCAUAUGAAUAAGCACCGGCUAACUCCGUGCCAGCAGCCGCGGUAAUACGGAGGGUGCAAGCGUUACUCGGAAUCACUGGGCGUAAAGGACGCGUAGGCGGGUUGGAAAGUCAGGUGUGAAAUCCUACAGCUUAACUGUAGAACUGCACUUGAAACUUCUAAUCUAGAGUAUGGGAGGGGGAGAUGGAAUUAGUGGUGUAGGGGUACAUCCGUAGAUAUCACUAGGAAUACCUAAAGCGAAGGCGAUCUCCUGGAACAUUACUGACGCUAAGGCGUGAAAGCGUGGGGAGCAAACAGGAUUAGAUACCCUAGUAGUC
This 438-nucleotide ribosomal RNA is filed under the name uncultured bacterium. RNAcentral's name for it is "partial 16S ribosomal RNA". It matches the Rfam family "Bacterial small subunit ribosomal RNA", at positions 339 to 795 of the family's 1533-position model. The record is from RNAcentral.